RNAcentral lists this ribosomal RNA (296 nucleotides) under uncultured bacterium. RNAcentral describes it as "partial 16S ribosomal RNA". It matches the Rfam family "Bacterial small subunit ribosomal RNA", at positions 335 to 633 of the family's 1533-position model. The record is from RNAcentral.
UACCUACGGGGGGCAGCAGUGGGGAAUAUUGCACAAUGGGGGGAACCCUGAUGCAGCGACGCCGCGUGGGUGAAGGAGCACCUCGGUGCGUAAAGCCCUAUCGGCAGGGAAGAAAAGCGAACAGGUUCGCCUGGACGGUACCUGACUAAGAAGCCCCGGCUAACUACGUGCCAGCAGCCGCGGUAAUACGUAGGGAGCGAGCGUUAUCCGGAAUUAUUGGGUGUAAAGGGUGCGUAGACGGGAAAGCAAGUUAGUUGUGAAAUCCCUCGGCUUAACUGAGGAACUGCAACUAAAAC